GACGAACGCUGGCGGCGUGCUCAACACAUGCAAGUCGAACGAAGAGCGAUGGAAGCUUGCUUCUAUCAAUCUUAGUGGCGAACGGGUGAGUAACGCGUAAUCAACCUGCCCUUCAGAGGGGGACAACAGUUGGAAACGACUGCUAAUACCGCAUACGAUCUAAUCUCGGCAUCGAGGAUAGAUGAAAGGUGGCCUCUACAUGUAAGCUAUCACUGAAGGAGGGGAUUGCGUCUGAUUAGCUAGUUGGAGGGGUAACGGCCCACCAAGGCGAUGAUCAGUAGCCGGUCUGAGAGGAUGAACGGCCACAUUGGCACUGAGACACGGCCCAGACUCCUACGGGAGGCAGCAGUGGGGAAUCUUCCGCAAUGGACGAAAGUCUGACGGAGCAACGCCGCGUGAGUGAUGACGGCCUUCGGGUUGUAAAGCUCUGUUAAUCGGGACGAAAGGCCUUCUUGCGAAUAGUGAGAAGGAUUGACGGUACCGGAAUAGAAAGCCACGGCUAACUACGUG
RNAcentral lists this ribosomal RNA (510 nucleotides) under uncultured bacterium. RNAcentral describes it as "partial 16S ribosomal RNA". It matches the Rfam family "Bacterial small subunit ribosomal RNA", at positions 28 to 507 of the family's 1533-position model. The record is from RNAcentral.